Molecule: long non-coding RNA, 1237 nt
Filed under: Cricetulus griseus (Chinese hamster)
Lineage: Eukaryota; Metazoa; Chordata; Mammalia; Rodentia; Cricetidae
Description: lncRNA (ENSCGRG00015029471.1)
Source: RNAcentral
CCUCAUCCUUCUCACAGCUCAGGAGACAUUUGACUCACUUCCCCAGCUGCUCCGCCAUUCUCCAUGGUAGCAAGCAGGUUACAGUGUUUACAGAGCCCAUUACCAAUAUACUCUAAGUCUCUUCAAUUAAAUGCCCUGCUAAUACAUGGGUUGGAUGCAUCCCUCUGUGAGCACGUGGGCGUUCUGCUGCAACUGCCUGGCUUUGGGUCCCCACGUCUGUCUUCCAGCUGGACUUUGCCUAUUCCUACAGUGGAAAGUAACAUGAGGUUCCCUGGUUUUAAGAUAUCUGCACCCACCCACAGGAGGAAGUUCACCUUCGAGCGAGGCCCCACGCUUCCCUCUUUGACAGUUUUCUGUUCCAUCUUCUUCUAUACCCAUGCUGAGCCUUCCUCCACCCUGACCAUCUUCAUUAAAACUCCAUUUCACCUUGAACCAAUAUGUGUUGGUUUUCGUAAUUCCUGGAACUUGACAAGAAAUGGUAGAAUAUUUAAUUAUACACAAGCAGUUCUCAACAUAUGGGUCGCAAGGCCUUUGACAAACCUCUAUCUCCAGAAAUAUUUACAUUACGAUUCAGAAUAAUAGCAAAAUUUCAGUUAUGAAGUAACCAUGAAUAUAAUUUUAUGGUUAAUGGUGUUAAAGGGUCACAGCAUUAAGAGGUUGAGAACCACUGUUAUACAGCAACAACAACUAAAGCACUUAAGUUUAGAAGACAUGUAACUGUGCUUGGCUUAUGGAACCCAGAGCUGUUGUUGGUAAUGAGUUAAUGGACUCAUUAGACCAGUACAUAUGGUAUAAGUAGGUGACAUCAGUAAUGGCUGACCACACUAAGGCAAGAAACAAUGAACACAGAGGGGACAGGUUGAAGGAGAACAUGGGAUGCCACGUAAAUCCUGGGGGAGUAGAAAGACUGAGAGAAAGUGAAACAGAACAAUAAAAAAUAGAGAAAUGAGAAUUGUGACAAAGUGAUAUGAAAGAAACCAAGAAGGAAAGGGGAAAACACACAAGCAAUAACAAAAAAAAAAAAUAUAUAUCAGGAAGGCAGGGCAGAGAAGCAGGUUCCAGGUCUGCAAGGCUGAGGUUGCUAGAAACCCCAGUAACUCCAGUCCUCUUGAAUAUUUUGUAUUACCUCCCCCCCUUACAUGGGAAGGAGAUACAGUGCAUGCUGGAAGUAGAGCAAAAGAAAUGAAGUGAACUCCAACUUAAUGACUUAAGAGGUAAUGUUGUAUACUUAGAACAA